UUUUCAUCAAGAGCAGUUGAGGGAUUGGCCCGAUGAAACUGCAGCAACCCCCCUUUCCAACGGGAUAGGUGCUAAUUCCUACGGUGUAUACCGGCAGAUGAACG
Molecule: non-coding RNA, 104 nt
Filed under: Megasphaera sp. UPII 135-E
Lineage: Bacteria; Bacillati; Bacillota; Negativicutes; Veillonellales; Veillonellaceae
Also listed under: 1 other name
Description: SAM riboswitch aptamer (S box leader)
Rfam family: SAM riboswitch aptamer (S box leader)
About the family: The SAM riboswitch is found upstream of a number of genes which code for proteins involved in methionine or cysteine biosynthesis in Gram-positive bacteria.
Source: Rfam by way of RNAcentral